RNAcentral lists this ribosomal RNA (437 nucleotides) under uncultured bacterium. RNAcentral's name for it is "bacterial SSU rRNA". It matches the Rfam family "Bacterial small subunit ribosomal RNA", at positions 1056 to 1506 of the family's 1533-position model. The record is from RNAcentral.
CAGCUCGUGUCGUGAGAUGUUGGGUUAAGUCCCGCAACGAGCGCAACCCUCACUUUUAGUUGCCAUCAUUAAGUUGGGCACUCUGAAAGAACUGCCAGUGAUAAGCUGGAGGAAGGUGGGGAUGACGUCAAGUCCUCAUGGCCCUUACGUGUUGGGCUACACACGUGCUACAAUGGUAUCUACAACAGGAAGCAAAAUCGCGAGGUUAAGCAAAUCCUUAAAAGAUACCUCAGUUCGGAUUGCACUCUGCAACUCGAGUGCAUGAAGCUGGAAUUACUAGUAAUCGUGGAUCAGCGUGCCACGGUGAAUGCGUUCCCGGGUCUUGUACACACCGCCCGUCACACCAUGGGAGUUGGUUCUACCUUAAGGCAAGGCUUAAACCCUUGACCACGGUAUAGUCAGCGACUGGGGUGAAGUCGUAACAAGGUAACCUCGUA